This 351-nucleotide ribosomal RNA is filed under the name uncultured bacterium. Its description in RNAcentral is "bacterial SSU rRNA". It matches the Rfam family "Bacterial small subunit ribosomal RNA", at positions 542 to 889 of the family's 1533-position model. The record is from RNAcentral.
UAUCCGGAAUUAUUGGGCGUAAAGGGCUCGUAGGCGGUUCGUCGCGUCCGGUGUGAAAGUCCAUCGCUUAACGGUGGAUCCGCGCCGGGUACGGGCGGGCUUGAGUGCGGUAGGGGAGACUGGAAUUCCCGGUGUAACGGUGGAAUGUGUAGAUAUCGGGAAGAACACCAAUGGCGAAGGCAGGUCUCUGGGCCGUCACUGACGCUGAGGAGCGAAAGCGUGGGGAGCGAACAGGAUUAGAUACCCUGGUAGUCCACGCCGUAAACGGUGGAUGCUGGAUGUGGGGACCAUUGCCACGGUCUCCGUGUCGGAGCCAAUGCGUUAAGCAUCCCGCCUGGGGACUACGGCCGC